RNAcentral lists this ribosomal RNA (228 nucleotides) under uncultured bacterium. Its description in RNAcentral is "partial 16S ribosomal RNA". It matches the Rfam family "Bacterial small subunit ribosomal RNA", at positions 122 to 334 of the family's 1533-position model. The record is from RNAcentral.
UAACCUACCCUGGUGUCUGGGAUAACAUCUCGAAAGGGGUGCUAAUACCGGAUAAGCCCACGGGAUCUUCGGAUUCUGCGGGAAAAGGUGGCCUCUAUUUAUAAGCUACCGUAUCAGGAUGGGUCCGCGUACCAUUAGCUAGUUGGUGGGGUAAUGGCCUACCAAGGCUACGAUGGUUAGCUGGUCUGAGAGGAUGAUCAGCCACACUGGAACUGAGACACGGUCCAG